AACCACACUAUCAAUGAACGGAUUCACCCGCGAGAUGAUGUGGCUCUUUCACAUAGGACGAGGACAUGAUAUCCUAUUACCAGCCAUCUCACGAAAUUAAUAGGAUAUACCACGUCAUCAUCCUAGGUGGAGCAACCACGUCAUCUCACGGGUGAAUCCAUUCAUCGAUAGUAUGGUU
MicroRNA precursor from Oryza sativa Japonica Group (Japanese rice), 178 nucleotides. It matches the Rfam family "MIR807 microRNA precursor family". NCBI's taxonomy places the organism in Eukaryota, Viridiplantae, Streptophyta, Magnoliopsida, Poales, Poaceae. The record is from Rfam.